RNAcentral lists this ribosomal RNA (494 nucleotides) under uncultured bacterium. Its description in RNAcentral is "partial 16S ribosomal RNA". It matches the Rfam family "Bacterial small subunit ribosomal RNA", at positions 28 to 507 of the family's 1533-position model. The record is from RNAcentral.
GACGAACGCUGGCGGCGUGCUUAACACAUGCAAGUCGAACGGAAAGGCCUGCUUUCCCUUGUGGAUUGCGGGUACUCGAGUGGCGAACGGGUGAGUAACACGUGAGUGAUCUGCCCCCAACUUGGGUAUAAGCCUGGGAAACUGGGUCUAAUUCCCGAUAGGACUGCAGGGUGGUGCCUGUGGUGGAAAACGAUUUUCUAGUGGUUGGGGAUGAGCUCGCGGCCUAUCAGCUUGUUGGUGGGGUAAUGGCCUACCAAGGCGGCGACGGGUAGCCGGCCUGGGAGGGUGGACGGCCACAUUGGGACUGAGAUACGGCCCAGACUCCUACGGGAGGCAGCAGUGGGGAAUAUUGCACAAUGGGCGGAAGCCUGAUGCAGCGACGCCGCGUGGGGGAUGACGGCCUUCGGGCUGUAAACUCCUUUCGGCCGCGAGGAAGCCACCUGGUUGGAAGGGUGGUGACGGUAGUGGUAGAAGAAGCACCGGCUAACUACGUG